Non-coding RNA from Zonotrichia albicollis (white-throated sparrow), 481 nucleotides. The record is from RefSeq and is a predicted model, not a curated record. NCBI's taxonomy places the organism in Eukaryota, Metazoa, Chordata, Aves, Passeriformes, Passerellidae.
CCAAAAAACACUCUGGGAGAAAACUAUGUCUAGAAAAUGAACAGAUACAGAUAAGACAUAUGCUAAAAUGGAGUUUGUUUCCAGUGUUAAAUAUCAAUUCAGAACUUCACUUUGAUUGGAAGAUUUGGUAAAUCACUGUCAAGGCUCCAUAUUGAAGGCUAUAUUGGAAAAGUUACUGGAUGGAAAUUUGUCGGUAUUCCAUAACAAUACAAGAGCUCAUCAGUCGUAAAAGUGUGUCCAUCAAAGAGCCAUCAAAAAACCAACUCUGAACAGCCAAAGGCUUCUUCAGAGAAUCCACUUCUCUUGGGACUCUUGCUGUAUUUGAUGUCUUCUUAUGCCUCCAUUGUUACACUGGCGUGUAAAACAGGGUGUUUAAUUCGGCUUCACUGGAGCUGUGCCAGGUCCUGAUGGAAAUGAGGUUAGCACUUAUUUGUCCAGUGUAAGUAAAUGGAAAGCCAUGCUAAGGAUCACUAAAACUCAG